UACAGAGGUCUCAAGCGUUGUUCGGAUUCAUUGGGCGUAAAGGGUGCGUAGGUGGCGCGCUAAGUCAGGUGUGAAAUUUCGGAGCUUAACUCCGAAACUGCAUUUGAUACUGGCGUGCUUGAGGACUGGAGAGGAGACCGGAAUUCAUGGUGUAGCAGUGAAAUGCGUAGAGAUCAUGAGGAAGACCAGUGGCGAAGGCGGGUCUCUGGACAGUUCCUGACACUGAGGCACGAAGGCCAGGGGAGCAAACGGG
RNAcentral lists this ribosomal RNA (253 nucleotides) under uncultured bacterium. RNAcentral describes it as "partial 16S ribosomal RNA". It matches the Rfam family "Bacterial small subunit ribosomal RNA", at positions 524 to 776 of the family's 1533-position model. The record is from RNAcentral.